RNAcentral lists this ribosomal RNA (904 nucleotides) under Pseudohydnum gelatinosum. RNAcentral's name for it is "partial large subunit ribosomal RNA". It matches the Rfam family "Eukaryotic large subunit ribosomal RNA", at positions 74 to 965 of the family's 3401-position model. The record is from RNAcentral. Lineage: Eukaryota; Fungi; Basidiomycota; Agaricomycetes; Auriculariales.
AUUCCCCUAGUAACGGCGAGUGAAGCGGGAAAAGCUCAAAUUUGAAAUCUGGCGGUCUACGGCCGUCCGAGUUGUAGUCUAGAGAGGUGUCUUCUGCGUCGGACCAUGCACAAGUCCCUUGGAACAGGGCGUCAUAGAGGGUGAGAAUCCCGUCCGUGGCAUGGACUCCCGGUGCUUUGUGAUGCGCCUUCGAAGAGUCGAGUUGUUUGGGAAUGCAGCUCAAAAUGGGUGGUAAAUUCCAUCUAAAGCUAAAUACAGGCGAGAGACCGAUAGCGAACAAGUACCGUGAGGGAAAGAUGAAAAGCACUUUGGAAAGAGAGUUAAACAGUACGUGAAAUUGUUGAAAGGGAAACGCUUGGAGUCAGUCGCGUUUGCCGGGACUCAGCCUUGCUUCUGCUUGGUGCACUUCCUGGUACACGGGCCAGCAUCGAUUUUGAUCGCCGGAAAAAGGCUUGGGGAAGGUGGCACCUUCGGGUGUGUUAUAGCCCCUUGUUGUAUACGGUGGUUGGGAUUGAGGACCGCAGCACGCCUUUUGGUCGGGGUUCGCCCACGCCACGUGCUUAGGAUGCUGGCGUAAUGGCUUUAAACGACCCGUCUUGAAACACGGACCAAGGAGUCUAACAUGCCUGCGAGUGUUUGGGUGUAAAACCCAGGCGCGUAAUGAAAGUGAAAGGUUGGGACUCUUCGCUGAGGCACCGACGCCCGAUCCUGACGUUCUCUGACGGAUUUGAGGUAGAGCAUGUAUGUUGGGACCCGAAAGAUGGUGAACUAUGCCUGAAUAGGGCGAAGCCAGAGGAAACUCUGGUGGAGGCUCGUAGCGAUUCUGACGUGCAAAUCGAUCGUCAAAUUUGGGUAUAGGGGCGAAAGACUAAUCGAACCAUCUAGUAGCUGGGUUCCUGCCGAA